UCGAGCGAACAGACGAGGAGCUUGCUCCUCUGACGUUAGCGGCGGACGGGUGAGUAACACGUGGAUAACCUACCUAUAAGACUGGGAUAACUUCGGGAAACCGGAGCUAAUACCGGAUAAUAUAUUGAACCGCAUGGUUCAAUAGUGAAAGACGGUUUUGCUGUCACUUAUAGAUGGAUCCGCGCCGCAUUAGCUAGUUGGUAAGGUAACGGCUUACCAAGGCAACGAUGCGUAGCCGACCUGAGAGGGUGAUCGGCCACACUGGAACUGAGACACGGUCCAGACUCCUACGGGAGGCAGCAGUAGGGAAUCUUCCGCAAUGGGCGAAAGCCUGACGGAGCAACGCCGCGUGAGUGAUGAAGGUCUUCGGAUCGUAAAACUCUGUUAUUAGGGAAGAACAAAUGUGUAAGUAACUAUGCACGUCUUGACGGUACCUAAUCAGAAAGCCACGGCUAACUACGUGCCAGCAGCCGCGGUAAUACGUAGGUGGCAAGCGUUAUCCGGAAUUAUUGGGCGUAAAGCGCGCGUAGGCGGUUUUUUAAGUCUGAUGUGAAAGCCCACGGCUCAACCGUGGAGGGUCAUUGGAAACUGGAAAACUUGAGUGCAGAAGAGGAAAGUGGAAUUCCAUGUGUAGCGGUGAAAUGCGCAGAGAUAUGGAGGAACACCAGUGGCGAAGGCGACUUUCUGGUCUGUAACUGACGCUGAUGUGCGAAAGCGUGGGGAUCAAACAGGAUUAGAUACCCUGGUAGUCCACGCCGUAAACGAUGAGUGCUAAGUGUUAGGGGGUUUCCGCCCCUUAGUGCUGCAGCUAACGCAUUAAGCACUCCGCCUGGGGAGUACGACCGCAAGGUUGAAACUCAAAGGAAUUGACGGGGACCCGCACAAGCGGUGGAGCAUGUGGUUUAAUUCGAAGCAACGCGAAGAACCCUUACCAAAUCUUGACAUCCUCUGACCCCUCUAGAGAUAGAGUUUUCCCCUUUCGGGGGACAGAGUGACAGGUGUGCAUGGAUUGUCGUCAGCUCGUGUCGUGAGAUGUGGGUAGUCCCGCACGAGC
RNAcentral lists this ribosomal RNA (1054 nucleotides) under Staphylococcus sp. RNAcentral's name for it is "bacterial SSU rRNA". It matches the Rfam family "Bacterial small subunit ribosomal RNA", at positions 62 to 1097 of the family's 1533-position model. Lineage: Bacteria; Bacillati; Bacillota; Bacilli; Caryophanales; Staphylococcaceae. The record is from RNAcentral.